This 72-nucleotide transfer RNA is filed under the name Gekko hokouensis. Its description in RNAcentral is "tRNA-Pro". The record is from RNAcentral. Lineage: Eukaryota; Metazoa; Chordata; Lepidosauria; Squamata; Gekkonidae.
CAAAAAAUAGUUUAACUAAAAUGCUAGUUUUGGGGACUAGAGAUAGGUUUAUUCUUGCCAACUUUUUUUUGA